Molecule: long non-coding RNA, 100 nt
Organism: Neomonachus schauinslandi (Hawaiian monk seal)
Lineage: Eukaryota; Metazoa; Chordata; Mammalia; Carnivora; Phocidae
Exons: 3
Source: RefSeq, a predicted model, not a curated record
GGUAACACGCGUAGGUUGGCCAUGCAGCCUGCUUUGCCCACUGAAAGGUAGCAGCAAUGCUUGAGAAUUUGGAUUUACAUCGAACCAUAGUGACUGGGUG